This 2168-nucleotide long non-coding RNA is filed under the name Erythranthe guttata (spotted monkey flower). Its description in RNAcentral is "long non-coding RNA (EGUT_LNC003377)". The record is from RNAcentral. Lineage: Eukaryota; Viridiplantae; Streptophyta; Magnoliopsida; Lamiales; Phrymaceae.
AGGAGUUCAUAUUUGGGUACCGAGUAAGAAUUUGAGUAUCCUUGUCUAACAUGUUGAGCUUCGUGCCGCACGUGCAGACGUAUCUGAUCGAGGUCUCCUUUCUCCAAUUCUUCUUCUUCUUUUUGCCAAACUCAACUACAUUUGUACACAAUGAAUCACUCAAAGUCAGUUUUACCAAUAAAAAAGGACAAAAGGAAAAAAAAUCAAAUUUACAUUAUUUACUCAGCUCUGUGAUUACAUGGAAGUUGGAAAUAAAACAGAAUCCUUCUGUGAAUCUUGAGAAUAUAUUUUGUAAUUUACGCAGAGUGUUUUACGGGCUACGAAACAUUCCAAUUUUUCAAUAACAUGCAAUAUUUAAAUUAUGUUCUAAAAUUGCGAACACUCUCUUGAGUAAUUACAAUACAAAAUACCCUAAAUUUAAUUUUAAUUUACAGGUAAUUGGAAAGGUGUAAUCUGCAAGUGGAAUGGAUUGGGAAAUGAGUAGAGAAAAGAAUGACAAGUAGACUAUGAGUGUGCUUGUCUUCACGUCUUGAGCCUUAUGGAAAGUUGACCUUUCUGGUCGAAGACUUAUUUAUAUUCUUCUUCUUGACCAAGUCAACACACACGUACACACCCAAUCAAAUUUGAACCCCGUCCUCUCCCACACCCCACAGUGAGAGAAAAAGCCACAAUACCAACCUAAGGCCUUAAUUGACGAUAAAAGGUUACCUUUAACAAAUAGUCAAUAGGAUACAAGGACUGUUGGUGACGAAACCAAUAGGUAUUUUAUAUUUUGGAAUAAAUUACAGAAACUAUUUAAGACUUGUGCUAUUUGUAAAAGUAAAAUAAAGGGAAAGAUCAUAUAACUUUUCGGAUCAGCUUAAAAAUUACCAACCAUUUUUUUCAUCAAGUUGCAUGCAUGUUGGUGAUACGUCAUUGACUUCACAAAAGUAAACUCUAUGAUUCUUUCAGCACACACCAUGCUGGAUUAUAUAUAUAUUCUGUAUUAUACACAUAGCACAGACCAUGUUUUGGGCCCUACCUAUAUUUUAACUGUGGAUGUGACAGUUGAAGACAAACCCUUCAAACAAUGGUAACCAAACAAUGAUCAUUCUCUCAAGUCUCAAACAUGCAAAAUUUAGGAAAAAAGGAUAUGGAGAAGAGAAGAAUUACCUGCAGCAAACCAAUUCUGCAUCUCUUCUUUUAUUUAUUGAUCACUUUGAAGAUUUUUCCUACAAAAAUGGCGACGGCUCAGAACAUCACUGUAAGAGUAGGGGUUGUGUUAAACAUGGAUGGUUUUGGACAGAUGUCAUUCAACUGCUUAUCAAUGGCGCUUACGGAUUUCUACUCUACGCACAAACAAUAUAGAACGAAGCUGGUUCUUACCGACCGGGACUCCAAAGACGAUGCCGUUGGAGCAGCUGCAGCAGGUACUCUGCCUAUAAAAAAACAUAUAACACACACUCAGGAAAUAAGGAAGAAGAAAUAGAGGAAACAAAAAGUUAUAAUUUGAUUUAGCCUAUUAACUAUUCAAUGAUUUUCUUAUUCUUGUUCUGAGGUCUCCCAUGUGAAACAAUGGGUCAAUCGCUUUGUCUUGUCUGAAAAUGGAUGUUAUUAAUUAAACUAGUUGGCAAUCAAGAAAUUCUAUAAAUUUCAAAUUACAAUUCUGUAGGAACAAUCCAUAAUGAUUUUUUUGGGUAUGGCAUUUUAGUCUGUCCGGGAAACAAGUUUAUGUAUAAGAAAGAGUAAACGCUCUACUACUAUAUUGUUAGUUUCUUGCUCAAGUUCAACAGAACAAGAUGUUACUAGAUAUCACAGGGCCAAAAAACACUCUUAUUUAUCUGUUCCUCACAGGCUAGUUUGCUUAAGCAUUAUACAUAUUUUUCCCAAUAAAAGCUAUAAACUUUUCCUAGUUGUAUAAGUGAGAUUUUAAAAAAAAUUUAAGCCCACAAAACUUCAAUUUUCAAGAAAGGAGGAAGAACAUUGAAAUAUUAAAAUUUUCUAAAUAUUCACUCAAGAUGUGGCUGUAUCUACUACUAUUCAGUUCUUUACAUGGAAAAAUUGUGUUGAAGUACUAGCUGAAAUAUUACCAUAUACUGGGAAAGUGCAAACAGAUUCAAGAUGCACCUUCCAGAAUGUAGGCAAUCGACUGAUGAACGUUUUGUUGCACAUGAAAUGCAGGUCUGGAC